GAGCGGCGAACGGGUGAGUAACACGUGAGUAACCUGCCCUCAACUUCGGGAUAAGCCUGGGAAACCGGGUCUAAUACCGGAUAGGACCUGAUCUGGCAUCGGAUCGGGUGGAAAGUUUUUUCGGUUGGGGAUGGGCUCGCGGCCUAUCAGCUUGUUGGUGGGGUAGUGGCCUACCAAGGCGACGACGGGUAGCCGGCCUGAGAGGGCGACCGGCCACACUGGGACUGAGACACGGCCCAGACUCCUACGGGAGGCAGCAGUGGGGAAUAUUGCGCAAUGGGCGGAAGCCUGACGCAGCGACGCCGCGUGGGGGAUGACGGCCUUCGGGUUGUAAACCUCUUUCAGCAGGGACGAAGUUGACGUGUACCUGCACAAGAAGCGCCGGCUAACUACGUGCCAGCAGCCGCGGUAAUACGUAGGGCGCAAGCGUUGUCCGGAAUUAUUGGGCGUAAAGAGCUCGUAGGUGGCUUGUCGCGUCUGCCGUGAAAGCCCAUGGCUUAACUGUGGGUCUGCGGUGGAUACGGGCUGGCUAGAGGUAGGUAGGGGCAAGCGGAAUUCCU
Molecule: ribosomal RNA, 560 nt
Filed under: Streptosporangium sp. 411G12
Lineage: Bacteria; Bacillati; Actinomycetota; Actinomycetes; Streptosporangiales; Streptosporangiaceae
Description: bacterial SSU rRNA
Rfam family: Bacterial small subunit ribosomal RNA
Source: RNAcentral